Molecule: ribosomal RNA, 320 nt
Filed under: Salmonella enterica
Lineage: Bacteria; Pseudomonadati; Pseudomonadota; Gammaproteobacteria; Enterobacterales; Enterobacteriaceae
Also listed under: 1 other name
Description: partial 16S ribosomal RNA
Rfam family: Bacterial small subunit ribosomal RNA
Source: RNAcentral
AAAUUGAAGAGUUUGAUCAUGGCUCAGAUUGAACGCUGGCGGCAGGCCUAACACAUGCAAGUCGAACGGUAACAGGAAGCAGCUUGCUGCUUCGCUGACGAGUGGCGGACGGGUGAGUAAUGUCUGGGAAACUGCCUGAUGGAGGGGGAUAACUACUGGAAACGGUGGCUAAUACCGCAUAACGUCGCAAGACCAAAGAGGGGGACCUUCGGGCCUCUUGCCAUCAGAUGUGCCCAGAUGGGAUUAGCUUGUUGGUGAGGUAACGGCUCACCAAGGCGACGAUCCCUAGCUGGUCUGAGAGGAUGACCAGCCACACUGGA